RNAcentral lists this long non-coding RNA (844 nucleotides) under Equus caballus (horse). Its description in RNAcentral is "lncRNA (ENSECAG00000045373.1)". Lineage: Eukaryota; Metazoa; Chordata; Mammalia; Perissodactyla; Equidae. The record is from RNAcentral.
CUGUCCGCCUCCUGAAGCUCUUCCCUCUUCUCCAUCUCACACGUCUCCAUCACCCCUCCUCGGGACUAUUCCAGGUGCCCAGGCCAAAGCCUACCAGGGGGCCAGAGAGAAGUGGAAGACUGGAAGUUCUGGCAAGUUCUACCUGGAAGCAGGGGCCAAGAAGCACCUACCCAUGGGGGCCAGUGUCUGGCAGGUCCUUGGAGGCUGCUGUGUUCUCACGCCUCACCACCAGGCCCCAAGACUGCUGUAGAUUCUCACUGUUGGAGUUCACCUUCGGUUUUCCACUUCUCUCAACUUGUGAAGCCAGGACAGAAUAUCACCUUUCAGGAGGCGUGCUGCCUCAUUUGGCGCUGUUAAGAUAAGAGAAGCAAAAACUUAAUUGAUGGAGAGUGACAAGAACUCAGUCCCAUGCCACCCCUAAAAUGAAAAGGCACAUGAGGCUGGAAAAUGCAGCCUAACUGCGCGUCCAGGGGAAAGAGGAUCCAGGUGUGGUUAGUAGCUGUCCAAAACCUUCCCAGCAUGUAUAAAGAAUAUACAGAAGCUCGAAUGACUGUUGAGGGAAUAGAAGAUGGAACUUGAGAGGUGGGUUGUGCCAUUUACUGAUACGGGGAAGACUGGAGAAGGAGAAGGGGACAGAAAUGAAAGACUCUCAACUAGACAUCACGUUUACAAUGCCUAUCAGCCAGCCAAGUGAAGAAAUUAAGUGGACAAUUGGAGACGGGAAGCUCAUGGCGGGAGGAAAGGAGAGAUUGGGGCUGGAGAUGUAAAAUUUGGAGUUAUCAGGGUGUUGGUAUAUGAAACCAAGAGACUUCAUGAGACCACCUAAUCUCAGUAGAGAAGAGAA